Molecule: ribosomal RNA, 442 nt
Filed under: uncultured bacterium
Lineage: Bacteria
Description: partial 16S ribosomal RNA
Rfam family: Bacterial small subunit ribosomal RNA
Source: RNAcentral
CCUACGGGUGGCAGCAGUGGGGAAUAUUGGGCAAUGGGCGCAAGCCUGACCCAGCAACGCCGCGUGAAGGAAGAAGGCUUUCGGGUUGUAAACUUCUUUUAAGGGGGACGAACAAAUGACGGUACCCCUUGAAUAAGCCACGGCUAACUACGUGCCAGCAGCCGCGGGAAUACGUAGGUGGCAAGCGUUAUCCGGAUUUAUUGGGUGUAAAGGGCGUGUAGGCGGGAGCGCAAGUCAGAUGUGAAAACUCAGGGCUCAACCCUGGGCCUGCAUUUGAAACUGUGUUUCUUGAGUGCGGGAGAGGCAAUCGGAAUUCGGUGUGUAGCGGUGAAAUGCGUAGAUAUACGGAGGAACACCAGUGGCGAAGGCAGAUUGCUGGACAGUAACUGACGCUGAGGCGCGAAAGCGUGGGGAGCAAACAGGAUUAGAUACCCGGGUAGUC